AGCUUUGCGCAGUGGCAGUUUCAUAGCCAAUGAGAUUUAUCUGAGGCGUGAUUAUUGCUAAUUAAAAUUGGCACCUGAAAUUUGCUUAGGAUCUCUUUAGUUAUGAUUCUCAGGCUAUAUUAAUAAUCCAUUUCUGAUAUAG
Molecule: small nuclear RNA, 142 nt
Organism: Lutra lutra (Eurasian river otter)
Lineage: Eukaryota; Metazoa; Chordata; Mammalia; Carnivora; Mustelidae
Product: U4 spliceosomal RNA
Exons: 1
Source: RefSeq, a predicted model, not a curated record